AGUGAACGCUGGCGGUAGGCCUAACACAUGCAAGUCGAACGGCAGCACAGUAAGAGCUUGCUCUUACGGGGGGCCGAUGGGGGACGGGACAGGAAAAAAACGUACCCUACUUUUUGGUGGGGGUUAAGGAAGGUAAAUUUAGUCCAAUACCGCAUCCGCCCUUGGGUGGAAGGCGGGGGAUCUUCUAACCUGGCGGGAUUGAACUCGCGGAUUUGGGUGUGGUUAGUUGGGGGGUUAAAGGCCAACCAAGUGGACGAUCCGUAGCUGGUCUGAGAGAAUGAUCAGCCACACUGGAACUGAGACACGGUCCAGACUCCUACGGGAGGCAGCAGUGGGGAAUGUUGGACAGUAGGCGCAAGCCUGGUCCAGCCAUACCGCGUGUGUGGAGAAGGCCUUCGGGUUGUGAAGCCCUUUUGUUGGGAAAGAAAAGCAGCAGGUUAAUACCCAGCUGUUCUGACGGUACCCAAAGAAUAAGCACCGGCUAACUUCGUG
Molecule: ribosomal RNA, 492 nt
Filed under: uncultured bacterium
Lineage: Bacteria
Description: partial 16S ribosomal RNA
Rfam family: Bacterial small subunit ribosomal RNA
Source: RNAcentral